UCGUAACAAAUUUGUUCUCAGCU
RNAcentral lists this small nuclear RNA (23 nucleotides) under Arabidopsis thaliana (thale cress). Its description in RNAcentral is "snRNA_18353". The record is from RNAcentral. Lineage: Eukaryota; Viridiplantae; Streptophyta; Magnoliopsida; Brassicales; Brassicaceae.